UACGUAGGGUGCGAGCGUUGUCCGGAAUUAUUGGGCGUAAAGAGCUUGUAGGCGGUCUGUCGCGUCUGCUGUGAAAAUCCGGGGCUCAACCUCGGGCCUGCAGUGGGUACGGGCAGACUAGAGUGCGGUAGGGGAGAUUGGAAUUCCUGGUGUAGCGGUGAAAUGCGCAGAUAUCAGGAGGAACACCGGUGGCGAAGGCGGGUCUCUGGGCCGAUACUGACGCUGAGGAGCGAAAGCGUGGGGAGCGAACAGG
This 253-nucleotide ribosomal RNA is filed under the name uncultured bacterium. Its description in RNAcentral is "partial 16S ribosomal RNA". It matches the Rfam family "Bacterial small subunit ribosomal RNA", at positions 524 to 776 of the family's 1533-position model. The record is from RNAcentral.